GGAUCAAUAUGUUGGUCGUGCCUUGGUACGUACUGGCAUUAUUGGUUUCUACCUUCUGAAGAACCUCGAUGUCAUUAAUUUGGUGUCUUGGGGAAUCAGGACUGUUACUUUGAAAAUUAAGAGUGUUUAAAGCAGGCUCGCGCUUGAAUACAUUAGCAUGGAAUAAUGAAAUAGGACGUUUGAUUCUAUUUUGUUGGUUUUAGGAUCAACGUAAUGAUUAAU
RNAcentral lists this ribosomal RNA (222 nucleotides) under uncultured Glomeromycotina. RNAcentral describes it as "partial 18S ribosomal RNA". The stretch from base 46 to 222 matches the Rfam family "Eukaryotic small subunit ribosomal RNA", at positions 693 to 873 of the family's 1831-position model. The record is from RNAcentral. Lineage: Eukaryota; Fungi; Glomeromycota.